CUCAAGCUCAACAGGAAGACUCUGCACCAUCCACGACUUUCUUAUGGUGCCCAGUUUGGCACUUCCAAGGCCCCCUCUUUGAGGGUGGGGGCUGGAUUUUCCAAGGAAGAAGGGACCUUAAACAAUCUUCUGACUUGUAACAGUCUCAGAAAGGCUGCAGGAUGUCGACCUGGUUGUACCGAAGCCUUUGACACCUCCCAUAGAACUAUCCCAGCUGUGAAGUCAUGGGGCCUUCACAGGGCCUGGACGAGAGACGACUGUGUUUGGACAACCCUGAGAAAUAAGCCUUCUGGCAUCUGGUGUCCACAGAGUCAGCAUUCUCAAUUUAAUAAAAAUGUAAAUGAUUUAAGCAAUAAUAAUUACCUUGGAGCUGUUACUGCUACCAGGAUUGGUUUAAAUGAAAACAAGACAGAGCCAAAGGAUUUGUAGUCUACCUUUACAUGGAUGGUAAAUAAAUCACUCUUUCUCAUUUUCA
This 475-nucleotide long non-coding RNA is filed under the name Sus scrofa (pig). RNAcentral's name for it is "lncRNA (ENSSSCG00025010529.1, ENSSSCG00035019001.1, ENSSSCG00055027200.1, ENSSSCG00070014853.1)". The record is from RNAcentral. Lineage: Eukaryota; Metazoa; Chordata; Mammalia; Artiodactyla; Suidae.